UACGUAGGGUGCAAGCGUUAAUCGGAAUUACUGGGCGUAAAGCGUGCGCAGGCGGUUCGCUAAGACAGAUGUGAAAUCCCCGGGCUCAACCUGGGAAUGGCAUUUGGGACUGCAAGGCUUGAGUGCGGCAGAGGAGACUGGAAUUCCUGGUGUAGCGGUGAAAUGCGUAGAUAUCUGGAGGAAUACCGGUGGCGAAGGCGGCAUCCUGGACCGAUAUUGACACUGAUGAGCGAAAGCUAGGGGAGCAAACGGG
Molecule: ribosomal RNA, 253 nt
Filed under: uncultured bacterium
Lineage: Bacteria
Description: partial 16S ribosomal RNA
Rfam family: Bacterial small subunit ribosomal RNA
Source: RNAcentral